Molecule: long non-coding RNA, 1591 nt
Organism: Macrobrachium nipponense
Lineage: Eukaryota; Metazoa; Arthropoda; Malacostraca; Decapoda; Palaemonidae
Exons: 5
Source: RefSeq, a predicted model, not a curated record
UGGAACUGAAGCAGACGGUAAUACCUAACACCACCUCGCCUCCACCAAACGAAGCCACCACCCACAAUCCAGCAUCCGUUGGCCAUUAAGGAGACGGUAAUACCUAACACCACCUCACCACCACCUACGAAGGCAACCUCCAGAAUCCAGCGUCCCUAUUAUCUUCAGGAAUGCUACACCUACGAAGACCUAAGAGCGAGAUUCACCUGCAACGUUACCCAUUCGUUCAGGAAUUUUACCCACGAGAACAUUUUCGAAUGUGCCUCGAGCCUGUGGGAAGUUAUAAGGGACAAAAGCAUUCCCGACCCCUGGGGAAAUCCGGCUGUGGCGGUGUCGAAGAAACCCUCUGUGCAUUUAGUCAUGGCGGGCGAUUCUCACAUUCGGAAUAUCUUCGAAGUGUUUCUGCGGCGCAUCGCUGGUCCUCGGGUCAAGUACCGUGUUGCCAAAAUGCAACCAGAUGAAUGGAAGGAUUCUGAAAACCUGUUCGCAACCUGGAAAUUGGAUGCCCACGAAUUCUUCCACGAACUCCUUCACUUGGACGUUCCACUGAGGAUCACCUUCUACUGGGAUCCUUUCCUGGAAACGCUUCCCCAAUUAUUGUCCUCCUGGACGGCUGGGAGUGAUAGUAAACCAACCCAUUUACUCAUAGGGUCGACGCUGCAUUACAUGAGAAGGACAAGCGCAGUUUUCUUGGGACAAGGCCAAAAGGCGGCCUCAAUGCAAUUCUUCAAUCACCUGAACACCAUCUCGCCUCAGCUGGAGAAGUUGUCGAAUACCAUACCUGUGGUCUUCAAGCUUCAGGAUCAUUUACAGAAAGAUCCCAGAAACAACAUCGAGAACCCGCAGAACAUCGACUAUUACAACCGCAUCGCCAGCGACCUGCUGCCGAAGAGUUCCUCCUCCUUCGUCGUGUGGAACAGCACCGUCCCCUUGUCGGAUCUCUACGCCGAGGAGUGCCUGAGGAAGGGCAGCUAUCUCCCUCGCACUGUAGACUGGCGGUGCGACGAUGUGAAGCAUCUCGGAUACAAAGUGAUAGACCAGUACCUGGAUAUGUAUUUAAACGAUAUUUGCUGUUGUUUUGGGAAGGGAGGUAUGAAGAUGACCUGAACUGCCAAGAAAUGGAGGUCAUGAAGCUCUUUCUAAACUGGCCGAAAGGGUUUACGUCUCGAGGUGAACGAAUAGCAAAAUUCUGACGACUGUUACCACAAGCUGUGGGUAGUACUACAGUCAUAUUUUCGGGGACAUUCAUAUUCAUGUGACGAAUACAGUGACCAUAUCUGCAUGAUCGGCCCGUAAGCAGAUCUUAGCGUGAUUCCGGAUUUCGUAAGGCAAAUUGCGCUACCAAAUAAAAACGCCGACUUAGCGGUUACCGAAGAACCAUGAAGCGCUAUUCAUGAACCUCAACUGCCAUCAAGGCUUUUAUGUGGAUAUUGAUUUGUGAAUUGUAAAGUGAGAUCGUUGAGCGUCCAUGAUUUUAAUGUGCAUUCGGAAAUGUCUUGUGCACGUCCCUCCCUCCCUUGACUUAUGACUGUCUUUGUUGCAGUGUUGUAUUUUUCGUAUUACUUAUUCAUGCAAAGAUUUAUGAAUUUAU